RNAcentral lists this ribosomal RNA (505 nucleotides) under uncultured bacterium. Its description in RNAcentral is "partial 16S ribosomal RNA". It matches the Rfam family "Bacterial small subunit ribosomal RNA", at positions 28 to 507 of the family's 1533-position model. The record is from RNAcentral.
GACGAACGCUGGCGGCGUGCCUAAUACAUGCAAGUAGAACGCACAGUUUAUACCGUAGCUUGCUACACCAUAGACUGUGAGUUGCGAACGGGUGAGUAACGCGUAGGUAACCUGCCUGGUAGCGGGGGAUAACUAUUGGAAACGAUAGCUAAUACCGCAUAAUAUUAAUUAUUGCAUGAUAAUUAAUUGAAAGGUGCAAUUGCACCACUACCAGAUGGACCUGCGUUGUAUUAGCUAGUAGGUGAGGUAACGGCUCACCUAGGCGACGAUACAUAGCCGACCUGAGAGGGUGAUCGGCCACACUGGGACUGAGACACGGCCCAGACUCCUACGGGAGGCAGCAGUAGGGAAUCUUCGGCAAUGGACGAAAGUCUGACCGAGCAACGCCGCGGGAGUGAAGAAGGUUUUCGGAUCGUAAAGCUCUGUUGUAAGAGAAGAACGGGUGUGAGAGUGGAAAGUUCACACUGCGACGGUAUCUUACCAGAAAGGGACGGCUAACUACGUG